This 385-nucleotide unclassified non-coding RNA is filed under the name uncultured fungus. Its description in RNAcentral is "sequence contains ITS1". The stretch from base 1 to 105 matches the Rfam family "5.8S ribosomal RNA", at positions 50 to 154 of the family's 154-position model. Lineage: Eukaryota; Fungi. The record is from RNAcentral.
GAAAUGCGAUACGUAAUGUGAAUUGCAGAAUUCAGUGAAUCAUCGAAUCUUUGAACGCACAUUGCGCUCUCUGGUAUUCCGGAGAGCAUGCUUGUUUGAGUAUCAGUAAAACACCCUCAAUUCUCUUGUUUUUCAAGGAAAUUGGACUUGAGUGAUCCCAACGGCGGCGUUAAAAACCGCUGGCGGGCCACUUGAAAUGCAGGUGCGGCUGGACACUUCUUCUGAGCUAUAAGCAUUACUUAUUUAAUCCCGUCAAACGGAUUAUUUCUAUUGCUACAGCUAACAUAAAGGUUGAUUGUCCUUGUGCCCGACUGAUGCAGGAAAACAAAGAGUAAUCUUUGUUCAACUCGAUCUCAAAUCAAGUAAGACUACCCGCUGAACUUAA